Molecule: unclassified non-coding RNA, 315 nt
Filed under: uncultured Monosporascus
Lineage: Eukaryota; Fungi; Ascomycota; Sordariomycetes; Sordariales
Description: partial contains 5.8S ribosomal RNA, internal transcribed spacer 2, and large subunit ribosomal RNA
Rfam family: 5.8S ribosomal RNA (bases 1-102)
Source: RNAcentral
AUGCGAUAAGUAAUGUGAAUUGCAGAAUUCAGUGAAUCAUCGAAUCUUUGAACGCACAUUGCGCCCACUAGUAUUCUGGUGGGCAUGCCUGUUCGAGCGUCAUUUCAACCCUCAAGCCUCAGUUGCUUGGUGUUGGGAGCUUAUCUUGCCGAAAGGCGGACAACUCCUUAAAACUAUUGGCGGAGUGGCGGUGACCCCAAGCGUAGUAAAUCUAUUUUUCUCGCUUUAGGUGUUAGCGCUGUCUUCUAGCCGCUAAACCCUCUAAAUCUUUUAGUGGUUGACCUCGGAUCAGGUAGGACUACCCGCUGAACUUAA